GCUCCUAAAUAGCAAUGUCAUAUCUUCGAACAUGCAAUAAAGCAUCAUGGUUUGUAUGGUGACGAAGACACAGUAUACGUUGGUUUUUCUGAAUGACCUAUAUCCUAAAUUACGUCAAGUAAACCAUUAUAUGUACAAGCACAAAUAAAGAGUCUAAAUAUCUAUUAAAAAAGAAUUCUUA
Molecule: long non-coding RNA, 181 nt
Filed under: Octopus sinensis (East Asian common octopus)
Lineage: Eukaryota; Metazoa; Mollusca; Cephalopoda; Octopoda; Octopodidae
Description: uncharacterized LOC118762417
Source: RNAcentral